CCUACGGGUGGCAGCAGUAGGGAAUCUUCCACAAUGGGCGAAAGCCUGAUGGAGCAACGCCGCGUGGGUGAAGAAGGUCUUCGGAUCGUACAACCCUGUUGUUAGAGAAGAAAGUGCCUGUGAGUAACUGUUCACGUUUCGACGGUAUCUAACCAGAAAGCCACGUCUAACUACGUCCCAGCAGCCGCGGUAAUACGUAGGUGGCAAGCGUUAUCCGGAUUUAUUGGGCGUAACGGGUGCGCAGACGGAAGCGGAAAGUCAGCGGGAAAAUUGCGGGGCUCAACCUCGCCGAGCCGUGGAAACUGCUCGUCUAGAGUGGGCGAGGAGUAUGCGGAAUGCGUGGUGUAGCGGUGAAAUGCAUAGAUAUCACGCAGAACUCCGAUUGCGAAGGCAGCAUACCGGCGCCCAACUGACGCGCAUGCACGAAAGCGUGGGUAUCGAACAGGAUUAGAUACCCGGGUAGUC
This 465-nucleotide ribosomal RNA is filed under the name uncultured bacterium. RNAcentral's name for it is "partial 16S ribosomal RNA". It matches the Rfam family "Bacterial small subunit ribosomal RNA", at positions 338 to 795 of the family's 1533-position model. The record is from RNAcentral.